UAAUCGUAGGUCAGCAUACUACGGUGAAUACGUUCCCGGGCCUUGUACACACCGCCCGUCAAACCAUGAGAGUUGGCAACACCCGAAGUCGGUAGUCUAACCGCAAGGAGGGCGCUGUCGAAGGUGGGAUUGAUGACUGGGGUGAAGUCGUAACAAGGUAGC
This 162-nucleotide ribosomal RNA is filed under the name uncultured bacterium. RNAcentral describes it as "partial 16S ribosomal RNA". It matches the Rfam family "Bacterial small subunit ribosomal RNA", at positions 1339 to 1500 of the family's 1533-position model. The record is from RNAcentral.